UACGUAGGGGGCAAGCGUUGUCCGGAUUUAUUGGGCGUAAAGGGCGCGUAGGCGGCCACUGCAAGUCGGUUGUGAAAUCUCCGGGCUUAACCCGGAAAGGUCAACCGAUACUGCAGGGCUAGAGUGCAGAAGGGGCAACUGGAAUUCUCGGUGUAGCGGUGAAAUGCGUAGAUAUCGAGAGGAACACCUGCGGCGAAGGCGGGUUGCUGGGCUGACACUGACGCUGAAGCGCGAAAGCUAGGGGAGCGAACGGG
Molecule: ribosomal RNA, 254 nt
Filed under: uncultured bacterium
Lineage: Bacteria
Description: partial 16S ribosomal RNA
Rfam family: Bacterial small subunit ribosomal RNA
Source: RNAcentral